GGAUGUGAGGGCAUUCUGGCUACAACAUCUGUCACCCAAUGAUUGCUAGAGUUGAACUGGCUGAUCUGGCUGGUCAGACUGAUAUCCCUUUCUCCCUCACAGCUCCAGGUGCAUCCUUCCCAAAGCUGCAUGCUCAGGUGAAGGGGACAAUCUUCUGCCAUAGAGGAGGACCAUUCUUUGGUCAAGCGUAGAUGAGUAACACUGGUCCCCUCCUAGAACCUUCAAACAAGCUCUUAAGGUCCAUUUGUAGGAGAAUGUAGGGUAGUCCAGCUUCCAAGACUCCAGACACAUCCAAAUGAGGCAUUGUAUGGGGCAGUCUGCCAUUCUUU
This is an unclassified non-coding RNA of Mustela putorius furo (domestic ferret), 329 nucleotides long. Its record names the gene 7SK. It matches the Rfam family "7SK RNA". Rfam says of the family: 7SK was discovered as an abundant small nuclear RNA in the mid-70s but a possible function has only recently been suggested. Two independent studies have found that 7SK RNA binds the CDK9/cyclin T complex (known as elongation factor P-TEFb). The record is from Ensembl. NCBI's taxonomy places the organism in Eukaryota, Metazoa, Chordata, Mammalia, Carnivora, Mustelidae.